Molecule: long non-coding RNA, 425 nt
Organism: Brassica rapa (field mustard)
Lineage: Eukaryota; Viridiplantae; Streptophyta; Magnoliopsida; Brassicales; Brassicaceae
Source: RefSeq, a predicted model, not a curated record
GACGACUUACAGACGACUUACAAACGACUAACAGGUAAGUCGUCCCAGACGUCUUCCAGAUCUGAAAAACUUGCAUAUCUAAAUCUAUAUCUGAAAAACCUGUAUAUCAAAAAACGUUCAAAUGACUUAAAACAGAGAAAAUAAGUAGAAGAUUAGAUAAAUCUACUUUUAUAUAACACACAAAAAUACAUAUCUAAAAUUGAUAGAUCUACUUUUAAAUGAGUGGAAGAUGAGAACCAUGUGAUGAAAAACCUCCAAAAACAAGAUAAACUAGUAAGAAGGACAUGAAACAAAAAAAAUAAAUUGAUAUAAAGCUUAGUGUUCAUAAGUUGAAAGAGAUUAGAGAGAGGUUGGAGAGUUUUAGAAUGAUGAACAUUACAUUUUUGUUGCAGCCAUUUGAGAGAAUGUAUAAAUUUUUCUUUAUA